GACGAACGCUGGCGGCGUGCUUAACACAUGCAAGUCGAACGGAAAGGCCCUUCGGGGUACUCGAGUGGCGAACGGGUGAGUAACACGUGGGUGAUCUGCCCUGCACUUUGGGAUAAGCCUGGGAAACUGGGUCUAAUACCGAAUAUGAUCAUCGGCUUCAUGGUCGGUGGUGGAAAGCUUUUGCGGUGUGGGAUGGGCCCGCGGCCUAUCAGCUUGUUGGUGGGGUAAUGGCCUACCAAGGCGACGACGGGUAGCCGGCCUGAGAGGGUGACCGGCCACACUGGGACUGAGAUACGGCCCAGACUCCUACGGGAGGCAGCAGUGGGGAAUAUUGCACAAUGGGCGCAAGCCUGAUGCAGCGACGCCGCGUGAGGGAUGACGGCCUUCGGGUUGUAAACCUCUUUCAGCAGAGACGAAGCGCAAGUGACGGUAUGUGCAGAAGAAGGACCGGCCAACUACGUG
This 462-nucleotide ribosomal RNA is filed under the name uncultured bacterium. RNAcentral's name for it is "partial 16S ribosomal RNA". It matches the Rfam family "Bacterial small subunit ribosomal RNA", at positions 28 to 507 of the family's 1533-position model. The record is from RNAcentral.